GGCAGAUCUGAAUGUAUCUGUGAUGGCUGAAUUCCAACAUUUGUUGCAGCAGAAAGCCACGUCAUUUCAUGAGCGAGUCUUAGCUUGGAUGCUUGCACGAGAUGGAUAUUCCGCAUCGUGACCCCUUUCCACAAAAUAUCAUGGGGUCGAGCAAUAGAUGUACAGUACGUUUCUUGUUGAUUUCAACUCAACAAGGUUGUAAAUAUCACAGUCUUCUUUAUUUGGCACAAAAAGAAAGACUUUGAGAAAUUUAAGAAAGGUCAGGACAGGAGCAGUGGUUUGAGCUCCGCUUGUUUCGUCUUCAGAAUUUGAAUCGACACGAAGAAUUGACAUUUGGUUCUGCUUAAGCAAGGAAGAAGCGUUUGGGUGCGCUAUAGAUUCCUGGGAAACUGAAUUUACCCAGUCGUCAAGUGAAAGGCUUCGAUCAUCUCCGCAGAUGUACAUGUACAUAUUGUUUGGUUGCUUGAAGGUGCUUUACGAAGUGCACGUCCGACUUCAAUACUGUUUGCAAGGGCUAUUUACUGUGAGGAGAUUCAGCAAAUUCAUUGUGGGUGC
This 555-nucleotide small RNA is filed under the name Histoplasma capsulatum var. duboisii H88. RNAcentral's name for it is "Histoplasma capsulatum H88 hypothetical RNA". The record is from RNAcentral. Lineage: Eukaryota; Fungi; Ascomycota; Eurotiomycetes; Onygenales; Ajellomycetaceae.